Molecule: non-coding RNA, 763 nt
Organism: Salvia hispanica
Lineage: Eukaryota; Viridiplantae; Streptophyta; Magnoliopsida; Lamiales; Lamiaceae
Source: RefSeq, a predicted model, not a curated record
AAUUUGUGAGUUUUCGGUGUCAGCCUCAGCCUCACAGCAGCUCCGGCAUCGGCGGUGUUGGUGCUCUGCCUUUAUCGCACAGCCGGUCAACCAUGGAGACAUGCCUACAGAGAUCAACGCACUCUUCGCUCUGAAGCAUUUCAUCGGAUAGUUUAAUUCCGAUGAAUUGCAUUGACAUGAGAAUGCAGAUUCUGCAGCCAAUUGACACCCAUGACGAAGACAAGUAACCAUCCAAGGUCAAUGCGCUCUUGGUCAGCAUAUGGGGCCAGCUCCUCUAAACGACGACAAAAAGCACCGAAAUCAAGAUUUGGAGGUUUGAACUUACUGCUGUAGCAAGAUUGCAUUUCGCGGCGAAAGAUGACUUAUUGGUGAUCACCGGAGAUCCUUGCACUGUAGCAUGCUUCACCGGAAAAACCUCUCUGACUCUGCGGCCGGAGAAAGCCAUAACUGCCGGGUUGAAGGUGACCGACAUGUUUAGGUUCAGGUCCGGAGCUGUGGCAGUUGAUGACGGACGGAGCAGCAAGCAGCGGCGAUGGAAGUGAGGAGGGAGUUUUGUUUGACAACAGAAGGCUGACUGAAAUAUGCUAUUGCAAUGACUUAUUCAAAUUGAUCUUAUAAUAAUGCAAAUAAUAUAUAUUUUGCGUUAUUAUAUGAUUAUUAACGUCUGUUGUUCUGUCAUGUAGUUGUAUAUAGAGAAGCGACAAUAUUGCAGACAAGUUUGAAAAAAAUAGUCUUCCACAAGAAAAAUAUUUAAGAUUGGUUA